This is a non-coding RNA of Ophiobolus disseminans, 147 nucleotides long. NCBI's taxonomy places the organism in Eukaryota, Fungi, Ascomycota, Dothideomycetes, Pleosporales, Phaeosphaeriaceae. The record is from the annotation of a GenBank genome assembly.
CUCCGCUUGGUGUAGUUGGUUGUACGUUUCAAACCCUUAAUCUUAGAUAUUCACUUCAGUCGCUAAUAGCAAUGCUUAGUAUCACGUUCGACUGUAAUGUUUACGACUGUAAUCGAAAGGUCCCUAGUUCGAUUCUGGGAGCGGAGA